AAGAAGACGACAUUUUGUUG
This 20-nucleotide microRNA is filed under the name Oryza sativa (Asian cultivated rice). Its description in RNAcentral is "osa-miR2928". Lineage: Eukaryota; Viridiplantae; Streptophyta; Magnoliopsida; Poales; Poaceae. The record is from miRBase by way of RNAcentral.